RNAcentral lists this ribosomal RNA (489 nucleotides) under Psychrobacter sp. Y12C. Its description in RNAcentral is "bacterial SSU rRNA". It matches the Rfam family "Bacterial small subunit ribosomal RNA", at positions 22 to 504 of the family's 1533-position model. The record is from RNAcentral. Lineage: Bacteria; Pseudomonadati; Pseudomonadota; Gammaproteobacteria; Moraxellales; Moraxellaceae.
GCUCAGAUUGAACGCUGGCGGCAGGCUUAACACAUGCAAGUCGAGCGGUAACAUUUCUAGCUUGCUAGAAGAUGACGAGCGGCGGACGGGUGAGUAAUACUUAGGAAUCUACCUAGUAGUGGGGGAUAGCACGGGGAAACUCGUAUUAAUACCGCAUACGACCUACGGGAGAAAGGGGGCAGUUUACUGCUCUCGCUAUUAGAUGAGCCUAAGUCGGAUUAGCUAGAUGGUGGGGUAAAGGCCUACCAUGGCGACGAUCUGUAGCUGGUCUGAGAGGAUGAUCAGCCACACCGGGACUGAGACACGGCCCGGACUCCUACGGGAGGCAGCAGUGGGGAAUAUUGGACAAUGGGGGAAACCCUGAUCCAGCCAUGCCGCGUGUGUGAAGAAGGCCUUUUGGUUGUAAAGCACUUUAAGCAGUGAAGAAGACUCCAUGGUUAAUACCCAUGGACGAUGACAUUAGCUGCAGAAUAAGCACCGGCUAACUCU